RNAcentral lists this ribosomal RNA (1400 nucleotides) under Microbacteriaceae bacterium MI-5.1 P16. Its description in RNAcentral is "bacterial SSU rRNA". It matches the Rfam family "Bacterial small subunit ribosomal RNA". Lineage: Bacteria; Bacillati; Actinomycetota; Actinomycetes; Micrococcales; Microbacteriaceae. The record is from RNAcentral.
UACCAUGCAGUCGAACGAUGAAGCCCAGCUUGCUGGGUGGAUUAGUGGCGAACGGGUGAGUAACACGUGAGUAACCUGCCCUUGACUCUGGGAUAAGCACUGGAAACGGUGUCUAAUACCGGAUAUUUCAGCUGGCCGCAUGGUCUGGUUGUGGAAAGAAUUUUGGUCAAGGAUGGACUCGCGGCCUAUCAGGUUGUUGGUGAGGUAAUGGCUCACCAAGCCUACGACGGGUAGCCGGCCUGAGAGGGUGACCGGCCACACUGGGACUGAGACACGGCCCAGACUCCUACGGGAGGCAGCAGUGGGGAAUAUUGCACAAUGGGCGAAAGCCUGAUGCAGCAACGCCGCGUGAGGGACGACGGCCUUCGGGUUGUAAACCUCUUUUAGUAGGGAAGAAGCGAAAGUGACGGUACCUGCAGAAAAAGCACCGGCUAACUACGUGCCAGCAGCCGCGGUAAUACGUAGGGUGCAAGCGUUGUCCGGAAUUAUUGGGCGUAAAGAGCUCGUAGGCGGUUUGUCGCGUCUGCUGUGAAAACUGGAGGCUCAACCUCCAGCCUGCAGUGGGUACGGGCAGACUAGAGUGCGGUAGGGGAGAUUGGAAUUCCUGGUGUAGCGGUGGAAUGCGCAGAUAUCAGGAGGAACACCGAUGGCGAAGGCAGAUCUCUGGGCCGUAACUGACGCUGAGGAGCGAAAGCAUGGGGAGCGAACAGGAUUAGAUACCCUGGUAGUCCAUGCCGUAAACGUUGGGAACUAGAUGUGGGGGCCAUUCCACGGUCUCCGUGUCGCAGCUAACGCAUUAAGUUCCCCGCCUGGGGAGUACGGCCGCAAGGCUAAAACUCAAAGGAAUUGACGGGGGCCCGCACAAGCGGCGGAGCAUGCGGAUUAAUUCGAUGCAACGCGAAGAACCUUACCAAGGCUUGACAUAUACGAGAACGGGCCAGAAAUGGUCAACUCUUUGGACACUCGUAAACAGGUGGUGCAUGGUUGUCGUCAGCUCGUGUCGUGAGAUGUUGGGUUAAGUCCCGCAACGAGCGCAACCCUCGUUCUAUGUUGCCAGCACGUUAUGGUGGGAACUCAUAGGAGACUGCCGGGGUCAACUCGGAGGAAGGUGGGGAUGACGUCAAAUCAUCAUGCCCCUUAUGUCUUGGGCUUCACGCAUGCUACAAUGGCCGGUACAAAGGGCUGCAAUACCGUAAGGUGGAGCGAAUCCCAAAAAGCCGGUCUCAGUUCGGAUUGAGGUCUGCAACUCGACCUCAUGAAGUCGGAGUCGCUAGUAAUCGCAGAUCAGCAACGCUGCGGUGAAUACGUUCCCGGGCCUUGUACACACCGCCCGUCAAGUCAUGAAAGUCGGUAACACCCAACGCCAGUGGCCUAACCUUCGGGAGGGAGCUUCUAAGUGA